Long non-coding RNA from Entelurus aequoreus (snake pipefish), 1460 nucleotides. RefSeq lists it as uncharacterized. The record is from RefSeq and is a predicted model, not a curated record. The transcript is spliced from 3 exons. Lineage: Eukaryota; Metazoa; Chordata; Actinopteri; Syngnathiformes; Syngnathidae.
AUCUGUGGGCGAGCAGUCAGAGACAGGUGCGGUGGAACUUUCACCUUCGGACAAUCCACUACACAAAUUGGCGUCACGAACAGGAUGGUUUAGAAGCUACAGGUCGACAGCCGCUCUCGCUAUCUCUGUCAGGCAGACAGUGUGCUGCACGCGCGCAUAACAAGAUUAGGUCAAACAACGGCACCUAUUUUGAGAAAACAGGUUAAUCUUCUUCAGUCACAAGAUCAGCACUUCUCAGGACCAGCAGCUUCCUAGGAAGGUGGAAAGACCAUGAGACCAAAAUGGUAAGUUUGCAAAAUGUAGAAUUUGUGUGCCAGUUCCUCUGUGCAGAUUUGAGGAUGAAAGCAGCCACUCCAGAUUCCCUUGCACUCGCUAAGAGGGGCACGGUCAAAGCCGAUCCAGGACCAACACCCGAUACCUGACUGGAAGGAACCGAGAGGAGAGACAACACCUUGCCAGCGAUGACGAGAACGACUAAGGUUGCCAGCCAAUAUGUGUCCGUCGGGAUUCCAGCAGCUGUGGAAGGAGGCCCUGAAGCAAGCCGAGGGCCUGGACCAAAGCCCCAUGCCCCAUACUCUUCCCCAGCCUUCCCCAAAGCCCCCACAGCUCCAACUUUUUCUCAGCUUUUCCCUAAUUUCGGCCAGCACGGACAUGCCAUUGCACAGUCUGCCCAAUGGACUGAACCACACCCCAGGAAGAGACAGAGACAGACUGUUUGAGUGGAUCUCUUUCUUCACCAGGGCAGCCGAAAGCCCAACGAGGUGUCGGCAGGCCAUCAGCCUGAGGCACCACCGAGCCAUCUAUACGAGCUCUAAUCGAACAUGGACUCAUACGAAAUUCAGUUGUGUGUUCAAAAUCAAUUGAUAAUUAACAAUAUUGGUAACUACAUUCAUUGCAAAUGCCGGGAAAAAUAUUUUUGCAAAUGUCUUACAGUCAUAAGUCUAUAUACAUUCAUCUAUUUAUGUUCAUGAUCAAAGUAUUUGUUAUUCCUUUACUAAAUCAAAGGGUAGGCCACUAAUUGUGUUCUGUGAGAUGGUUUUACUGCAGGCUGGUAACAGCGAUCGCUCUGAAGGAGGGUCAUAGACGGAAUUUUUGCCUCGUAUAAAAACAUUGAGGUUUUUGCCUCUAUCUGCGGUGGAGAUUUAAGUUAGUGGUCUAUAUCAGAAAUUGUUUUGGUCCAGGGUCUUGAGACCCUGGAAGGCGGGUAUGUAGUAGAAUUUCUGACCUUUUGACCUAUAUUUCUUGUCUUUUAAGAAUGUCCGCUCAUUUUCAAUUCUCUUGUAUUUUGUGCCAUUGAAUGGACCAGUUGUGGGACAAAAGUGAAUAUUAAGUCGUGCCAACCUGUCUACAGAAUGUGUUGACUGUCUAAAAGAUUCGAGUUGUUAUGGAACAGAUAGGAAAAAGAUAAAAGACAUUGACGCACUCGAUAAGGAACGAUGACGCACAAAAGACAUAUAAAA